GUGACAUAGAUGGGCAGAAAAAUCACAUUACAAAAUGGCGCCAGCAACAUGCAGCAUGAAUUUCCAGGAAAAUUCAUAUGUGCAUUGUUUUCUUCAUGAUCCUGAAAGGCAAAAAAUGGAGAUUUUACUCACGUCUGGUUCUGCCUCCAUGUGGUGAAAUCCCUGGAGUCAAGAAAAACCAUCCCCACCUCUGGCUACAACCAGCUUCUUUAACAAAGAAAGUUAAUUGGGUGAUGGAGCAUGGUCCAACUCCAUAUACUCUUGAACCUCAAAGCUCACCAGGAGGAAACAUCUGUGUUUUCACAAUUGCCAGUGGUCUCCUGUGAAAGAAGAACAGUAUGAAAGAGUUAAAAAUGUCCUUUUAAAACCAGUGUGGGAAUGUCUCCAGUGCCUCUGCUCAUGUCAAAACCUAAGUUUGCCUCUUUAUACACAUUUUGUCCUAAGACUUGUAAGUUACAACAUCAUAUUCCUGUUAGAAUGAACUUUAACCUCUUGUAUCCAUAAACAUUUGUGUCGCACACACAGUAAGAUUACAAACAUUAACAAUUUCAGUAUGAACAUACUUUAGCGUGACUUACAAUGCAAUCAAAAAGAUAAUAAAAUGUUCUCAUGAUC
Non-coding RNA from Cricetulus griseus (Chinese hamster), 615 nucleotides. The record is from RefSeq and is a predicted model, not a curated record. Lineage: Eukaryota; Metazoa; Chordata; Mammalia; Rodentia; Cricetidae.